RNAcentral lists this non-coding RNA (21 nucleotides) under Arabidopsis thaliana (thale cress). The record is from RNAcentral. Lineage: Eukaryota; Viridiplantae; Streptophyta; Magnoliopsida; Brassicales; Brassicaceae.
UUGAAAUCAGAGUAAGGGUCG